This is a long non-coding RNA of Mobula hypostoma (lesser devil ray), 718 nucleotides long. RefSeq lists it as uncharacterized. The transcript is spliced from 4 exons. The record is from RefSeq and is a predicted model, not a curated record. NCBI's taxonomy places the organism in Eukaryota, Metazoa, Chordata, Chondrichthyes, Myliobatiformes, Myliobatidae.
UUGAGUUGUGAGCCUGCUGUCUGCAGCUCCUGAGUUGAGUAGGUGCCAGUGAUCUCUGUGACAAAGCAAGCCUGCUGUUCCUCUGCACCUGGGUCCAGUCCUUCAAGAGUGCACCUUGACAGAAUGACCCACUCUACACCCCAUGGACCCAGGGAAGGGUCCGAGCUUUUCCAGUCUUUAUUUAGGAUUUUUUUCCCCUGAGGUUUUCUGUGUCAACAAGAUCUGCCUCAAGAGUCUUGAGCUCCUAGUCUACCUUGUGUAUUUCAGCCCUGCCUUGGGCCCAUCACAGCAGUUCUGGAUUCUCCAGUGCUGCCUCUAGCUCCAGAUCUGUCUUGUGUUUUUUCAGACCUGACUCAAGAGCUCCCUGGGCUGUCAAGGUCCUGGCCUUGGAGAUGGAGGGACUGCCGUGAACCCUGUGGCUUGCCAUAGAGGUUACGUUGAAGACCCAGACCUGGAGUUACACACUGACUUUGGUUCUUUAGGGAAAUGGGACCGGCUCUCAAGGCCUCGCGACUGCCAUUUUUUGAUAUGCCAAGGACGAGGCCUAGAAGACUAGCGCACCUUCAGGGUGGGGUUGGAUUUUCGUGGCUCUGGAGGUGGGUGGAUUCAAGAGCCUGCAAACCUAACCUGUCUGUUACACUUCAAGCUUACUCCCUACAAACAAAAACAUGUAUUUGGUACAAAAAUAUUUUCAACACAUUAAAAUCAUUACCUUGAU